This 468-nucleotide ribosomal RNA is filed under the name uncultured bacterium. Its description in RNAcentral is "partial 16S ribosomal RNA". It matches the Rfam family "Bacterial small subunit ribosomal RNA", at positions 28 to 507 of the family's 1533-position model. The record is from RNAcentral.
GACGAACGCUGGCGGUGGGCUUAACACAUGCAAGUCGAACGGAAAGGCCCUGCUUUUGUGGGGUUCUCGAGUGGCGAACGGGUGAGUAACAGGUGAGUAACCUGCCCUUGACUUUGGUAUAACUUCAGGAAACGGGGGCUAAUACCGUAUAGGAGCUCCUGCUGCAUGGUGGGGGUUGGAAAUUUUCGGCGGUUGGGGAUGGAUUCGCGGCUUAUCAGCUUGUUGGUUGGGGAGUGGCUUACCAAGGCUUUGACGGGUAGCCGGCCUGAGAGGGUGACCGGCCACAUUGGGCCUGAGAUACGGCCCAGACUCCUACGGGAGGCAGCAGUGGGGAAUAUUGCACAGUGGGAGGAAGCCUGUUGCAGCAACGCCGCGUGCGGGAUGACGGCCUUCGGGUUGUAAACCGCUUUCGCCUGUGACGACGCGUGAGUGACGGUAAUGGGUAAAGAAGCACCGGCUAACUACGUG